UAGGGAAUCUUCCGCAAUGGGCGAAAGCCUGACGGAGCAACGCCGCGUGAGUGAUGAAGGUCUUCGGAUCGUAAAACUCUGUUAUUAGGGAAGAACAAAUGUGUAAGUAACUAUGCACGUCUUGACGGUACCUAAUCAGAAAGCCACGGCUAACUACGUGCCAGCAGCCGCGGUAAUACGUAGGUGGCAAGCGUUAUCCGGAAUUAUUGGGCGUAAAGCGCGCGUAGGCGGUUUUUUAAGUCUGAUGUGAAAGCCCACGGCUCAACCGUGGAGGGUCAUUGGAAACUGGAAAACUUGAGUGCAGAAGAGGAAAGCGGAAUUCCAUGUGUAGCGGUGAAAUGCGCAGAGAUAUGGAGGAACACCAGUGGCGAAGGCGACUUUCUGGUCUGUAACUGACGCUGAUGUGCGAAAGCGUGGGGAUCAAACAGG
Molecule: ribosomal RNA, 429 nt
Filed under: Actinomycetes bacterium
Lineage: Bacteria; Bacillati; Actinomycetota; Actinomycetes
Description: Actinobacteria bacterium partial 16S ribosomal RNA
Rfam family: Bacterial small subunit ribosomal RNA
Source: RNAcentral